UACAGGGGGUGCAAACGUUGCUCGGAAUCAUUGGGCGUAAAGCGCGUGUAGGCGGCCAUCUAAGUCGGGCGUGAAAUCCCACGGCUCAACCGUGGAAGUGCACUCGAAACUGGAUGGCUAGAGUCCUGGAGAGGAAGGUGGAAUGCUUGGUGUAGAGGUGAAAUUCGUAGAUAUCAAGCGGAACACCGGUGGCGAAGGCGGCCUUCUGGACAGUGACGUGACGCUGAGACGCGGAAAAGCGUGGGGAGCAAACAGGAU
RNAcentral lists this ribosomal RNA (258 nucleotides) under uncultured bacterium. Its description in RNAcentral is "partial 16S ribosomal RNA". It matches the Rfam family "Bacterial small subunit ribosomal RNA", at positions 524 to 778 of the family's 1533-position model. The record is from RNAcentral.